Molecule: transfer RNA, 99 nt
Filed under: Thaumarchaeota archaeon S13
Lineage: Archaea; Thermoproteati; Nitrososphaerota
Also listed under: 2 other names
Description: tRNA-Glu
Source: RNAcentral
GCUCCAGUGGUGUAGUCCGGUCAAGCAUAUCGCCCUUUCAAGGCGAUGAUCUCGGGUUCAAACGCCACAUGACGGCUGAAAGUCCCGACUGGAGCACCA